CAGAUGAGAUUUGGAGCUUACGGUUAGUUUAACUAACUGAGGAACCUCGCCUCACUCUCCAAAUAAGGCAUGGAAAAUCCAUGAUGGCGAAAGCCAUAUUUUAGUAAUAGAAACGGUACCGCCCUUUUGAAUAUAUUGAUGAUUUAGAUAUAAGCUAAUGAAAUCUCGAAUGGGAAUGGUUGAAACGAGCUAAAACCUUUGUGCAAGACCAAAUGAAGGCAAUGAGAUUUGGAGCGAGCCUUAGGUAGGUCGCUUAGUUUGAUGCUCCAUUUAUCCAUUGGUAACAACGGAUAAAACAGAAAGGCGGGUAUAAAUCUUCAGCUG
This 324-nucleotide RNase P RNA is filed under the name Promethearchaeota archaeon. RNAcentral's name for it is "Candidatus Lokiarchaeota archaeon (microbial mat metagenome) RNase P RNA component". It matches the Rfam family "Archaeal RNase P". Rfam says of the family: Ribonuclease P (RNase P) is a ubiquitous endoribonuclease, found in archaea, bacteria and eukarya as well as chloroplasts and mitochondria. Its best characterised activity is the generation of mature 5'-ends of tRNAs by cleaving the 5'-leader elements of precursor-tRNAs. The record is from RNAcentral. Lineage: Archaea; Promethearchaeati; Promethearchaeota.